RNAcentral lists this ribosomal RNA (237 nucleotides) under uncultured bacterium. Its description in RNAcentral is "partial 16S ribosomal RNA". It matches the Rfam family "Bacterial small subunit ribosomal RNA", at positions 118 to 347 of the family's 1533-position model. The record is from RNAcentral.
UGAGCAAUCUGCCCUUCUCAUCGGAAUAAGCGUUGGAAACGACGUCUAAUGCCGAAUACGACCUCCUUUCGCAUGAUCGGAGGUGGUAAGCUCCGGCGGAGAAGGAUGAGCUCGCGGCCUAUCAGCUAGUUGGUGUGGGUAAUGGCCCACCAAGGCGACGACGGGUAGCCGGCCUGAGGAGGGUGACCCGGCCACACGUGGGACUGAGACACCGGCCCGGACUCCGUACGGGAGNAG